This 377-nucleotide ribosomal RNA is filed under the name uncultured bacterium. RNAcentral describes it as "bacterial SSU rRNA". It matches the Rfam family "Bacterial small subunit ribosomal RNA", at positions 521 to 896 of the family's 1533-position model. The record is from RNAcentral.
UAAUACAGAGGGUGCAAGCGUUAUUCGGAAUCACUGGGCGUAAAGAGUUCGUAGGCGGUUUGUUAAGUCGAAUGUGAAAGCCCUGGGCUCAAUCCAGGAAGUGCAUUCGAUACUGGCAAGCUGGAGUGCAGGAGAGGAAGGCGGAAUUCCAGGUGUAGAGGUGAAAUUCGUAGAUAUCUGGAGGAACAACAGAGGCGAAGGCGGCCUUCUGGACUGUCACUGACGCUGAGGAACGAAAGCGUGGGGAGCAAACAGGAUUAGAUACCCUGGUAGUCCACGCUGUAAACGAUGGGUACUAGAUGUCUGGGGCUCUUACCCCCUAGGUGUCGCAGCUAACGCAUUAAGUACCCCGCCUGGGAAGUACGGUCGCAAGAUUA